Cryptomeria japonica (Japanese cedar) is the source of this 215-nucleotide long non-coding RNA. RefSeq lists it as uncharacterized. The transcript has 3 exons. The record is from RefSeq and is a predicted model, not a curated record. Lineage: Eukaryota; Viridiplantae; Streptophyta; Pinopsida; Cupressales; Cupressaceae.
UUAGCUAGCAUUGCAUUUGGUGUUGAUACUGCACAAGAUACUGCUAGAGGAGAUACUGCUACAGGAUCUGAUGAGCAUAUGCAUGAGACAGGUGGAUCUGGACCACGUCCCGGGGACAAGAGAGAUACUGCUAUAGGAUCUGAUGAGCAUAUGGUGGAUCUGGACCACGUCCUGGGGACAAGAGAGAUACUGCUACAGGAUCUGAUGAGCAUAUG